RNAcentral lists this ribosomal RNA (253 nucleotides) under uncultured bacterium. RNAcentral's name for it is "partial 16S ribosomal RNA". It matches the Rfam family "Bacterial small subunit ribosomal RNA", at positions 524 to 776 of the family's 1533-position model. The record is from RNAcentral.
UACGGAGGGUGCAAGCGUUAUCCGGAUUUAUUGGGUUUAAAGGGUCCGUAGGCGGACUAAUAAGUCAGUGGUGAAAGCCCUCUGCUCAACAGAGGAACUGCCAUUGAUACUGUUAGUCUUGAGUACAAGUGAGGUUGGCGGAAUGUGUGGUGUAGCGGUGAAAUGCUUAGAUAUCACACAGAACACCGAUUGCGAAGGCAGCUGGCCAACUUGUAACUGACGCUGAGGGACGAAAGUGUGGGGAUCAAACAGG